This is a long non-coding RNA of Dreissena polymorpha, 799 nucleotides long. RefSeq lists it as uncharacterized. The record is from RefSeq and is a predicted model, not a curated record. The transcript has 4 exons. NCBI's taxonomy places the organism in Eukaryota, Metazoa, Mollusca, Bivalvia, Myida, Dreissenidae.
AUAGUUUUUUUGUAUUUCAGACAAACACAGAAUCCAAAUGAUUGGAAGAAAAAGAAAACUUGUACACCAAGUGCAUCUGCUAGCAGGGAGACUGUUGAUUCUGAAGGUGCUACAAUUCCUGGUGAAUUUUGCCAAUACACGAUUCAGCUCGAGGACGACCUGGCAUAUCUUCACCUGCUGAAAGCACAUAAUGCUGUAACACCUUUGGAUGAAUUCUACCGUGCUUUUGUAAUGCAAGAUUUCAACUUCACAACAAAGAGCUUAAAGGAUGAAUUUCUCAUUAUUCGACGUCAAGCGACCAAAGUUCCUGAAGGAUACUUGUGGUUGUAUGGAUGUAGCUGUAAUUUGGCACGGCAAACGAUGCUUAAUUCAGUUUCCUUUUCACUAUCAGGACCUGUUGAAGAUUUUGACCAUCCUUACAACAAGUGUUACCAUAUUGAAGCCAUGGAAAACAUUGCAUCUCAGUUUACAGAUGUCAACUUGGAAAAUGUAUUUAAUAGACGUAACUUUGGUUUAUUACCACUUAAAUAUGCUUUUCAUGCCCCCUUCUUCGAAGAAGAGGGGUUUAUUGUUUUUGGUUUGUCAUUCUGUCUGUCUGUCUGUCCAAAACUUUAACCUUGUUUAAAGUUUUGUCAUAAGUUUUGCAAUAUUGAACAUAGCAACUUAAUAUUUGGCAUGCAUGUAUAUCUCAUGGAGCUGCACAUUUUAAGUGGUGAAACACCAAGGUCAUCCUUCAAGGUCAAAGGUCAAAAAACACAUUGCAAGGGAAGUAAUAAGCUUUAAAGGGAGAUAAUGUCUA